UACGAAGGGGGCUAGCGUUGUUCGGAGUUACUGGGCGUAAAGGGCGCGUAGGCGGCCCUCCAAGUCGGGCGUGAAAGCCCACGGCUCAACCGUGGAAUUGCGCUCGAGACUGAAGGGCUCGAGGACGGGAGAGGAUGGUGGAAUUCCCAGUGUAGAGGUGAAAUUCGUAGAUAUUGGGAAGAACACCGGUGGCGAAGGCGGCUUACUGGUCCGGUACUGACGCUGAGGUGCGAAAGCGUGGGGAGCAAACAGG
This 253-nucleotide ribosomal RNA is filed under the name uncultured bacterium. RNAcentral describes it as "partial 16S ribosomal RNA". It matches the Rfam family "Bacterial small subunit ribosomal RNA", at positions 524 to 776 of the family's 1533-position model. The record is from RNAcentral.